AUAAACUUAGUUAAAAUAAAUAUAACACCAGUUUGUCAAACUGAAGUCAACCCCCGUUAGUUUAUAC
This 67-nucleotide transfer RNA is filed under the name unidentified. RNAcentral's name for it is "Exostira schroederi tRNA-Asp". The record is from RNAcentral.